AACGCGAAGAACCUUACCAGGACUUGACAUCCUUUGACCACUCUAGAGAUAGAGCUUUCCCCUUCGGGGGACAAAGUGACAGGUGGUGCAUGGUUGUCGUCAGCUCGUGUCGUGAGAUGUUGGGUUAAGUCCCGCAACGAGCGCAACCCUUAAUCUUAGUUGCCAGCAUUCAGUUGGGCACUCUAAGGUGACUGCCGGUGACAAACCGGAGGAAGGUGGGGAUGACGUCAAAUCAUCAUGCCCCUUAUGUCCUGGGCUACACACGUGCUACAAUGGACGGUACAAAGGGUUGCGAAGCCGCGAGGUGGAGCCAAUCCCAUAAAGCCGUUCUCAGUUCGGAUUGCAGGCUGCAACUCGCCUGCAUGAAGCCGGAAUUGCUAGUAAUCGCGGAUCAGCAUGCCGCGGUGAAUACGUUCCCGGGCCUUGUACACACCG
RNAcentral lists this ribosomal RNA (435 nucleotides) under uncultured bacterium. RNAcentral's name for it is "bacterial SSU rRNA". It matches the Rfam family "Bacterial small subunit ribosomal RNA", at positions 958 to 1392 of the family's 1533-position model. The record is from RNAcentral.